RNAcentral lists this ribosomal RNA (301 nucleotides) under uncultured bacterium. Its description in RNAcentral is "partial 16S ribosomal RNA". It matches the Rfam family "Bacterial small subunit ribosomal RNA", at positions 509 to 807 of the family's 1533-position model. The record is from RNAcentral.
CAGUCGCCGCGGUAACACGAGGGGGGCAAGCGUUGUUCGGAAUUAUUGGGCGUAAAGGGUGCGUAGGCGGUUUCGUAAGUCUGAUGUGAAAUCUAUGGGCUCAACCCAUAGUCUGCAUCGGAAACUGCGAGGCUUGAGAGUGGGAGAGGAGAGUGGAAUUCCACGUGUAGCGGUGAAAUGCGUAGAGAUGUGGAGGAACACCAGUGGCGAAGGCGACUCUCUGGUUUGUAACUGACGCUGAGGAGCGAAAGCGUGGGGAGCGAACAGGAUUAGAUACCCGGGUAGUCCCUGUCUCUUAUAC